This 493-nucleotide ribosomal RNA is filed under the name uncultured bacterium. Its description in RNAcentral is "partial 16S ribosomal RNA". It matches the Rfam family "Bacterial small subunit ribosomal RNA", at positions 27 to 507 of the family's 1533-position model. The record is from RNAcentral.
GAGUGAACGCUGGCGGUAGGCCUACCACAUGCAAGUCGAACGGCAGCACAGUAAGAGCUUGCUCUUACGGGUGGCGAGUGGCGGACGGGUGAGGAAUACAUCGGAAUCUACUUUUUCGUGGGGGAUAACGUAGGGAAACAUACGCUAAUACCGCAUACGACCUACGGGUGAAAGCAGGGGAUCUUCGGACCUUGCGCGAUUGAAUGAGCCGAUGUCGGAUUAGCUAGUUGGCGGGGUAAAGGCCCACCAAGGCGACGAUCCGUAGCUGGUCUGAGAGGAUGAUCAGCCACACUGGAACUGAGACACGGUCCAGACUCCUACGGGAGGCAGCAGUGGGGAAUAUUGGACAAUGGGCGCAAGCCUGAUCCAGCCAUACCGCGUGGGUGAAGAAGGCCUUCGGGUUGUAAAGCCCUUUUGUUGGGAAAGAAAAGCAGCAGGUUAAUACCCCGCUGUUCUGACGGUACCCAAGGAAUAAGCACCGGCUAACUUCGUG